UCUAACUGGAUAUGCAAGCAGGCUGGCAGCUACCACCCUUUCACCCGGCCAAUAAAGCAAAGGAUUUGCUGCAAAACCUAUAUGCUGAUGCUGUGGAGAAUAUCUGAUUUAAAACCAGUAACCCUUGUGGAAGUACUGAAUUCUACCAUCACCAAUGGGCCAGUGCAACCAUCGUUACCAUGGUGAUUACAUGCAGCGCAUCUCCCUGCAUGUUGUCUACUUCCUGUGAUCAGAUGUGGAGCCGUAUUCACUGCUAGGUGAAAUCAAUAGCCCAACACCAUCUCUGCAAAAAGCUGAAGAUGAGAUGUUUCACACCAGAGGACGAUUCACACGCACACAAGCACAGCACCUCAGGGCAGAUAACAUAUCUGCACCGCUGCAGUGUGCAGAUGACCCCCACCCCUCCCUCAGCUUGAAG
Long non-coding RNA from Girardinichthys multiradiatus, 418 nucleotides. RefSeq lists it as uncharacterized. The transcript is spliced from 3 exons. The record is from RefSeq and is a predicted model, not a curated record. NCBI's taxonomy places the organism in Eukaryota, Metazoa, Chordata, Actinopteri, Cyprinodontiformes, Goodeidae.